Non-coding RNA from Caenorhabditis elegans, 21 nucleotides. The record is from Ensembl. NCBI's taxonomy places the organism in Eukaryota, Metazoa, Nematoda, Chromadorea, Rhabditida, Rhabditidae.
UAAUAGCAGAGAUAGAGUAAA